AUUGAACGCUGGCGGCAGGCCUAACCCAUGCACGUCGAGCGAGCGGCGGACGGGUGAGUAAUGUAUGGGGACUGCCCGAUAGAGGGGGAUAACUACUGGAAACGGUGGCUAAUACCGCAUACUAUCGGAUAACCCAUAGGGGAUUAGCUAGUAGGUGGGGAAAAGGCUCACCUAGGCGGCGAUCUCUAGCUGGUCUGAGAGGAUGAUCAGCCGAACUGGGACGAGGACACGGCCCAGAUUCCUACGGAGGCAGCAGGGGGGAAUAUUGCUCAAUGGGCGCAAGCCUGAUGCAGACAUGCGGCUUGUAUAGAGAAGGCCGUAGGGUUGUAAAGUACUUUCAGCUGGGAGGCGUUACCCGCAGAGGGAGCACGGGCUAACUCGGUGCCAGCAGCCGCGGUAAUAC
RNAcentral lists this ribosomal RNA (403 nucleotides) under uncultured bacterium. Its description in RNAcentral is "partial 16S ribosomal RNA". It matches the Rfam family "Bacterial small subunit ribosomal RNA", at positions 29 to 526 of the family's 1533-position model. The record is from RNAcentral.